Molecule: ribosomal RNA, 253 nt
Filed under: uncultured bacterium
Lineage: Bacteria
Description: partial 16S ribosomal RNA
Rfam family: Bacterial small subunit ribosomal RNA
Source: RNAcentral
UACGUAGGGGGCGAGCGUUGUCCGGAUUUAUUGGGCGUAAAGAGCGCGUAGGCGGUUUGGUAAGUCGGAUGUGAAAUCCCGGGGCUCAACCCCGGACCUGCAUCCGAUACUGCCCGACUAGAGGUAGGUAGGGGAGAUCGGAAUUCCUGGUGUAGCGGUGAAAUGCGCAGAUAUCAGGAGGAACACCGGUGGCGAAGGCGGAUCUCUGGGCCGUACCUGACGCUCAGGCGCGAAAGCUAGGGGAGCGAACAGG